UGAAAUGCGAUAAUUAAUGUGAAUUGCAUUAUCUCGUGAAUCAUCGAGUCUUUGAACGCAUCUUGCACUUUUCAGGUCUCCUGAAAAGUAUACUUGUUUGAGUAUCAUAAACAUUAACUCUACUCUCUCCUUGUGAGGAGUAGGACUUGAGACGUCAGGAAGCCUUGUGCUCUCUGUGUCUUUUAAUGAAUAUGUGGCGCGAUUCUGGCUGGGUUACACCAGCUGGAAGCCUUAAAAUCAAAUGUGAGAUAAAUAUCGCACAGAGUAGUUUCAAGGUUCAAGCACUGCUACGCCUAGAGAAGCAGCAAUGCAACUCAACCUUUGAACAUUGAUCUCAAAUCAAGUAAGACUACCCGCUGAACUUAA
Molecule: unclassified non-coding RNA, 366 nt
Filed under: uncultured fungus
Lineage: Eukaryota; Fungi
Description: sequence contains ITS1
Rfam family: 5.8S ribosomal RNA (bases 1-107)
Source: RNAcentral